AAAUUGAAGAGUUUGAUCAUGGCUCAGAUUGAACGCUGGCGGCAGGCCUAACACAUGCAAGUCGAACGGUAACAGGAAGCAGCUUGCUUCUUUGCUGACGAGUGGCGGACGGGUGAGUAAUGUCUGGGAAACUGCCUGAUGGAGGGGGAUAACUACUGGAAACGGUAGCUAAUACCGCAUAACGUCGCAAGACCAAAGAGGGGGACCUUCGGGCCUCUUGCCAUCGGAUGUGCCCAGAUGGGAUUAGCUUGUUGGUGGGGUAACGGCUCACCAAGGCGACGAUCCCUAGCUGGUCUGAGAGGAUGACCAGCCACACUGGAACUGAGACACGGUCCAGACUCCUACGGGAGGCAGCAGUGGGGAAUAUUGCACAAUGGGCGCAAGCCUGAUGCAGCCAUGCCGCGUGUAUGAAGAAGGCCUUCGGGUUGUAAAGUACUUUCAGCGGGGAGGAAGGGAGUAAAGUUAAUACCUUUGCUCAUUGACGUUACCCGCAGAAGAAGCACCGGCUAACUCCGUGCCAGCAGCCGCGGUAAUACGGAGGGUGCAAGCGUUAAUCGGAAUUACUGGGCGUAAAGCGCACGCAGGCGGUUUGUUAAGUCAGAUGUGAAAUCCCCGGGCUCAACCUGGGAACUGCAUCUGAUACUGGCAAGCUUGAGUCUCGUAGAGGGGGGUAGAAUUCCAGGUGUAGCGGUGAAAUGCGUAGAGAUCUGGAGGAAUACCGGUGGCGAAGGCGGCCCCCUGGACGAAGACUGACGCUCAGGUGCGAAAGCGUGGGGAGCAAACAGGAUUAGAUACCCUGGUAGUCCACGCCGUAAACGAUGUCGACUUGGAGGUUGUGCCCUUGAGGCGUGGCUUCCGGAGCUAACGCGUUAAGUCGACCGCCUGGGGAGUACGGCCGCAAGGUUAAAACUCAAAUGAAUUGACGGGGGCCCGCACAAGCGGUGGAGCAUGUGGUUUAAUUCGAUGCAACGCGAAGAACCUUACCUGGUCUUGACAUCCACGGAAGUUUUCAGAGAUGAGAAUGUGCCUUCGGGAACCGUGAGACAGGUGCUGCAUGGCUGUCGUCAGCUCGUGUUGUGAAAUGUUGGGUUAAGUCCCGCAACGAGCGCAACCCUUAUCCUUUGUUGCCAGCGGUCCGGCCGGGAACUCAAAGGAGACUGCCAGUGAUAAACUGGAGGAAGGUGGGGAUGACGUCAAGUCAUCAUGGCCCUUACGACCAGGGCUACACACGUGCUACAAUGGCGCAUACAAAGAGAAGCGACCUCGCGAGAGCAAGCGGACCUCAUAAAGUGCGUCGUAGUCCGGAUUGGAGUCUGCAACUCGACUCCAUGAAGUCGGAAUCGCUAGUAAUCGUGGAUCAGAAUGCCACGGUGAAUACGUUCCCGGGCCUUGUACACACCGCCCGUCACACCAUGGGAGUGGGUUGCAAAAGAAGUAGGUAGCUUAACCUUCGGGAGGGCGCUUACCACUUUGUGAUUCAUGACUGGGGUGAAGUCGUAACAAGGUAACCGUAGGGGAACCUGCGGUUGGAUCACCUCCUUACCUUAAAGAA
This 1552-nucleotide ribosomal RNA is filed under the name Escherichia coli. RNAcentral's name for it is "bacterial SSU rRNA". It matches the Rfam family "Bacterial small subunit ribosomal RNA". Lineage: Bacteria; Pseudomonadati; Pseudomonadota; Gammaproteobacteria; Enterobacterales; Enterobacteriaceae. The record is from RNAcentral.